This 30-nucleotide non-coding RNA is filed under the name Homo sapiens (human). The record is from RNAcentral. Lineage: Eukaryota; Metazoa; Chordata; Mammalia; Primates; Hominidae.
UGAUGCAACCAGGAGUUAAACAGGUUGGGU